Molecule: long non-coding RNA, 1066 nt
Organism: Temnothorax curvispinosus
Lineage: Eukaryota; Metazoa; Arthropoda; Insecta; Hymenoptera; Formicidae
Exons: 3
Source: RefSeq, a predicted model, not a curated record
CUUACGCCUUAAGCAUUGUAGACGAGCCUGAUGUAAGAGCAUUUGCUAUGUCUUACUGCUUAAAGCAAGGUUAUUAAGGACGUAUUCUCCAAUACUUCGGUCACACUACACAAAGAGACCAGGAUAACUUGGAAAAAUUGAUAGUGCAAGGCAAGGCCAAAGGCAAGAGAUCAAGAGGCCGAUCUCCGUCACGAUGGCUAGACCAGAUAAAAGAUAUCACAGGUCAACCACUGUAAAUAAAUCUCCGAGGCUGAAGAUUGCUAUUGUUGGACGACUAUGGUUCACCAUUGUAAAUGAUCAUAAUGUCACGAUUCUUCAGACAUGAAGAUACGAUGACAAAGAAGGAGAUAUAAAAGGAUCCCAAGCAAUCAAUUAAGCUUGUUAAAAAUUCAUCCGCUUAGCUGUUUUUAGAUAUGGCGGAUAUGGCUAUCGUAUCUCCGCUCAACUCGAUGCUUGAGAUAUAUAGACACUUUCGGUCUCGCUGCCCGUGCCGCUGGCGCAAACACUUGGCAAACACUACCGUGUCUCUUGAUAUAUAUGUUGUCAAUUAUUUAUUGUUACAAUGUUGUGGAAAUUACUGAAGUAACUAUCAUUUAAUUAUUUCUUUGUCUAGAUCUGUAGCCGACCGCUUUGGUAUGGGCAAAUCAUCGUUGAGUAACUGCUUCAUGCGUGUUAUUAAAGCUCUCAACGACAUUGCUAGUGAUAUAUUUGGCCAACCUGUUGGCAAUUAUUUGGCCAACAGGUGACAAGCUUUUGACUGUAAAAGAGAAAUUCAAAGAAAAUGGUGAUUUAUCUGAUGUCAUCGGUGCAAUCGAUGGUACUGAUACUGAAGUGAAAGGUCCUAUAUAAGGAAAAUUGUCAAUUCUACAUUAACAGAAAAAAGCGGUUCAGCAUCACUCUCCAAACUGUUUGUGAUUCUCAGCUUAGCUUCACAGACUGCUUUGCUGGUAUUGCAGGCUUUGUUGGUAAGUAUCUCAUGAUAGUCUGUAGACGACUAUCUAGCGAAACCACUGCCAAGGAAACGGGCUUGGAAAAAUUAGCGAGGAAAGAAGACCCUGUUGAGCUU